Salvia splendens (bonfire salvia) is the source of this 577-nucleotide long non-coding RNA. RefSeq lists it as uncharacterized. NCBI's taxonomy places the organism in Eukaryota, Viridiplantae, Streptophyta, Magnoliopsida, Lamiales, Lamiaceae. The transcript has 3 exons. The record is from RefSeq and is a predicted model, not a curated record.
AAAUUUUGUUUGAUCCAUAUAGUCUCUUGUACACUUUGCUCACGAGCUUCCCAACCCCGCUGCGUGAUGAACCCUCCGCAGCUGGACGAGCUUGUACAGGAGGCAUGACCUGAUAAUUCUGGAAGAAUGAAUCGACCGACGCUCGGGCCCCACUCCAUUGCGGCAUGUCUUGGCUUUGUGAAUAUGGGCGACGAUUCCAAUCGGGCUCAGGCUGGCUUGGAGAAUGCAGUGGACGGUCCCACUGCGACUGAGACUCAUGCGUCGGGUGUGAAUACCACUGGGGUGGGUCAUGCUCUUGAUACUGCGCCUCUGGUGCUACAUAAUCGGGAGGCGCCUGAGACAUCCUAAACUGCUUUGUGUAGCCGUGUCCCCCAGUCCGAACACCACGCGCUCCACGACGCCGUGGAACUACUUCUUCUUGGUACGGCAUGACCACAUCCUGAUGUUGAGAAGCGGGGUACUCCAUGACAUCACCGUUGUUCGUAUCUUCGAGGGUAGUCCUAACAAUUUCUCGAAUCUGGCGCACUCGGGGGUCCAUUUCGUCUUCCGUAGUUAAAUGGAAAACCCGCUGAAAAGC